CCAAAGGCUCUUUUAAGAGCCACUAAGUUAUCCAUAUUAGAGUUG
Molecule: non-coding RNA, 45 nt
Organism: Cricetulus griseus (Chinese hamster)
Lineage: Eukaryota; Metazoa; Chordata; Mammalia; Rodentia; Cricetidae
Source: Rfam